GUGGCUGUAGUUCAAUGGUAGAACGGCGGGUUGUGAUCCCGCUAACGAGGGUUCGACUCCCUUCGGUCACC
Molecule: transfer RNA, 71 nt
Filed under: Bacilli bacterium
Lineage: Bacteria; Bacillati; Bacillota; Bacilli
Description: tRNA-His
Rfam family: tRNA
About the family: Transfer RNA (tRNA) molecules are approximately 80 nucleotides in length.
Source: RNAcentral